RNAcentral lists this long non-coding RNA (342 nucleotides) under Pan troglodytes (chimpanzee). RNAcentral describes it as "long non-coding RNA NONPTRT001191". Lineage: Eukaryota; Metazoa; Chordata; Mammalia; Primates; Hominidae. The record is from RNAcentral.
UCUUGAAGUAAGGUAGGGUUCUUUUUUGUUGCUUUGAAUUUAUCAAGCCUAUCUAGAAUUUUAGAAAAUAGUAUUUGCUUAUAUGCUGCAAAACUAUCCAAUACCUUGUCUAUAAAUAUAAUACAUGGUUGCUGGCAGGGAGGGGGAAUUAGAUGCAGUGAUAUAUAUGCAGAUAGAUAGAUAGAUAGAGAUAGAGAUGCACUGCAUUUUAUUCACUUUUUCACUUUGCAAAAAUUUAUUGAGUUCCUACCAUGUUAAAGAAAGGUUGGAAGACACAAGGCAUACAGAAAUUAUAAAGUACAAUCCUUGAUUUCAUAGAGUUCAUAAUAUAUUGGGGAAACA